GUCCAGGGAUGGGAAUCGAACCCACAACGUUCCGCUUACCGGGCAGAUGCCAUGUCCACUAGGCUACCCUAGA
RNAcentral lists this transfer RNA (73 nucleotides) under Cordylochernes scorpioides. Its description in RNAcentral is "tRNA-Thr". The record is from RNAcentral. Lineage: Eukaryota; Metazoa; Arthropoda; Arachnida; Pseudoscorpiones; Chernetidae.